AGAUUGAACGCUGGCGGCAGGCCUAACACAUGCAAGUCGAGCGGUAGAGAGGUGCUUGCACCUCUUGAGAGCGGCGGACGGGUGAGUAAUGCCUAGGAAUCUGCCUAGUGGUGGGGGAUAACGUUCGGAAACGGACGCUAAUACCGCAUACGGUCCUACGGGAGAAAGCGGGGGACCUUCGGGCCUCGGCGCCAUUAGAUGAGCCUAGGUCGGAUUAGCUAGUUGGUGAGGUAAUGGCUCACCAAGGCGACGAUCCGUAACUGGUCUGACGAGGAUGAUCGAGUCACACUGGAACUGAGACAGUCGGUCCCAGGACCUCCGUACGGGAGCGAGCGAGGUGGGGAAUAGUUGGACAAGUGGGACGAAAGCCUGACUCCGAGCCAGUCGCCGCGUGUGUAGAAG
RNAcentral lists this ribosomal RNA (402 nucleotides) under uncultured soil bacterium. RNAcentral describes it as "bacterial SSU rRNA". It matches the Rfam family "Bacterial small subunit ribosomal RNA", at positions 26 to 413 of the family's 1533-position model. The record is from RNAcentral.